Molecule: unclassified non-coding RNA, 206 nt
Filed under: plant metagenome
Description: partial contains small subunit ribosomal RNA and internal transcribed spacer 1
Rfam family: Eukaryotic small subunit ribosomal RNA (bases 1-46)
Source: RNAcentral
AAGUCGUAACAAGGUUUCCGUAGGUGAACCUGCGGAAGGAUCAUUAAAUGAGUAGUGCCCCCCGGGUACGAUACUCCACCCUUGUGUAUUAUACAUUGUUGCUUUGGCAGGCCGCCUUCGGGCAUCGGCUUCGGCUGGUCUGCGCCUGCCAGAGAACCCUAAACUCUGAAUGUUAGUGAUGUCUGAGUACUAUAUAAUAGUUAAAA